CCUACGGGUGGCUGCAGUAAGGAAUAUUGGUCAAUGGACGCAAGUCUGAACCAGCCAUGCCGCGUGGAGGAUGAAGGCCCUCUGGGUUGUAAACUUCUUUUAUUUGGGACGAAAAAAGGUCAUUCUUGGCCGUCUGACGGUACCAGAUGAAUAAGCACCGGCUAACUCCGUGCCAGCAGCCGCGGUAAUACGGAGGGUGCAAGCGUUAUCCGGAUUUACUGGGUUUAAAGGGUGCGCAGGCGGAUAUGUAAGUCAGUGGUGAAAUCUCCAGGCUU
Molecule: ribosomal RNA, 275 nt
Filed under: uncultured bacterium
Lineage: Bacteria
Description: partial 16S ribosomal RNA
Rfam family: Bacterial small subunit ribosomal RNA
Source: RNAcentral